Molecule: long non-coding RNA, 777 nt
Organism: Gigantopelta aegis
Lineage: Eukaryota; Metazoa; Mollusca; Gastropoda; Neomphalida; Peltospiridae
Exons: 2
Source: RefSeq, a predicted model, not a curated record
AAGGCUGGUGCCAGAGGGGACAGCUUUCGUGGUCAUGUGACAUGACCAUAUGUGGAAAAGGGCCAAAGUUCCUUGUUCUUGGUGUGGAUCUCACACAAGGCAUUCCACUCUGGUCACCGAGCAAUCAACACCGAGUUACUCGAGCCAUCUUAAGGUAAGCAUCGUAUUACAUUUAGUUACAAGGAAGUAUAUUUGCUAUUUUAGGAAUCAAGCUAUUGAUAAUUUUUAUAAGAUUGAAUGCAUAGUUAUAGUAUUUUAUAAAGUUGGUUUCUCUCCCGAAAGUAUAUUAACGAUUAGUAAGUGAUCAUUUUAUUACCUGUUAGUACUGUUGCCAUAAUGCUUAAGAAAGAAAGAACAAAGAUGUCAUAAGGUUCCAUAUCAUGAUGUAUCAUAAUUAUCGACAUUUUCUUGCACUGUAUAGUUUGGGAGCUUUUAUUUGACAUUAAAUAUGUUGGCGCCGUUUUAUUAAAUAUGUUAGCUCAAAAGAGAUAAACCGCUGCUUUAGCAAUUUAUAUUAACUCUUGGUGAGAGGGAAUCUUAAAAAGAUCCAAUUAAUGCCUUAUUGCUUUCAUUUAUUUAUCUGUAAAACGCGACUGAUAAUUGCUUGUUUUUGUUCAGGUUUGGACUCUGGUCGUGUGGGGGCUAUACCUGUGGGGUAUACACUACUUGUAUAUUGAUUUAUAGAUCCUGGGGAUAAAUGAUCCUAUAUGGAAACCCCAGUGUUCUAAUUUACUUAUAAUUAAUUAACCCUAUUAUUAAAGCCCUUCAGAUCCUGAA